UGGGGAAUAUUGGACAAUGGGCGCAAGCCUGAUCCAGCCAUGCCGCGUGAGUGAUGAAGGCCCUAGGGUUGUAAAGCUCUUUCACCGGUGAAGAUAAUGACGGUAACCGGAGAAGAAGCCCCGGCUAACUUCGUGCCAGCAGCCGCGGUAAUACGAAGGGGGCUAGCGUUGUUCGGAUUUACUGGGCGUAAAGCGCACGUAGGCGGACUUUUAAGUCAGGGGUGAAAUCCCGGGGCUCAACCCCGGAACUGCCUUUGAUACUGGAAGUCUUGAGUAUGGGAGAGGUGAGUGGAAUUCCGGGUGUAGAGGUGAAAUUCGUAGAUAUUCGGAGGAACACCAGUGGCGAAGGCGGCCCACUGGACCAUUACUGACGCUGAGGUGCGAAAGCGUGGGGAGCAAACAGG
Molecule: ribosomal RNA, 404 nt
Filed under: Actinomycetes bacterium
Lineage: Bacteria; Bacillati; Actinomycetota; Actinomycetes
Description: Actinobacteria bacterium partial 16S ribosomal RNA
Rfam family: Bacterial small subunit ribosomal RNA
Source: RNAcentral